AUUGAACGCUGGCGGCAUGCCUUACACAUGCAAGUCGAACGGCAGCACGGGAGCAAUCCUGGUGGCGAGUGGCGAACGGGUGAGUAAUAUAUCGGAACGUGCCCAGUCGUGGGGGAUAACGUAGCGAAAGCUACGCUAAUACCGCAUACGAUCUAUGGAUGAAAGCGGGGGAUCGCAAGACCUCGCGCGAUUGGAGCGGCCGAUAUCAGAUUAGGUAGUUGGUGGGGUAAAGCCUACCAAGCCUUCGAUCUGUAGCUGGUCUGAGAGGACGACCAGCCACACUGGAACUGAGACACGGUCCAGACUCCUACGGGAGGCAGCAGUGGGGAAUUUUGGACAAUGGGCGCAAGCCUGAUCCGGCAAUGCCGCGUGCAGGAUGAAGGCC
RNAcentral lists this ribosomal RNA (385 nucleotides) under uncultured bacterium. RNAcentral's name for it is "bacterial SSU rRNA". It matches the Rfam family "Bacterial small subunit ribosomal RNA", at positions 30 to 416 of the family's 1533-position model. The record is from RNAcentral.